RNAcentral lists this antisense RNA (69 nucleotides) under Lentzea xinjiangensis. Its description in RNAcentral is "Lechevalieria xinjiangensis ASpks TB sRNA". It matches the Rfam family "ASpks TB sRNA". Lineage: Bacteria; Bacillati; Actinomycetota; Actinomycetes; Pseudonocardiales; Pseudonocardiaceae. The record is from RNAcentral.
CUUCACCGAUCCCAGCCACAGCGGCACGUCGCGGUCCUGGCCGUAGGUCGCGAGCAGCGCCUGCGCCUC